UACGAAGGGGGCUAGCGUUGUUCGGAAUUACUGGGCGUAAAGCGCACGCAGGCGGAUUUAUAAGUCAGGGGUGAAAUCCCGGGGCUCAACCUCGGAAUUGCCCUUGAUACUGUCUAUCUUGAGUCCGGGAGAGGUGAGUGGAAUUCCUAGUGUAGAGGUGAAAUUCGUAGAUAUUAGGAAGAACACCAGUGGCGAAGGCGGCUCACUGGCCCGGCACUGACGAUCAUGUGCGAAAGCGUGGGGAGCAAACAGG
Molecule: ribosomal RNA, 253 nt
Filed under: uncultured bacterium
Lineage: Bacteria
Description: partial 16S ribosomal RNA
Rfam family: Bacterial small subunit ribosomal RNA
Source: RNAcentral